AUUGAACGCUGGCGGCAUGCUUUACACAUGCAAGUCGAACAGCAGCGGGGGCUUCGGCCCGCCGGCGAGUGGCGAACGGGUGAGUAAUGCAUCGGAACGUGCCCAGUCGUGGGGGAUAACACAUCGAAAGAUGUGCUAAUACCGCAUACGUCCUGAGGGAGAAAGCGGGGGAUCUUCGGACCUCGCGCGAUUGGAGCGGCCGAUGUCGGAUUAGCUAGUUGGUGGGGUAAAAGCCCACCAAGGCGACGAUCCGUAGCGGGUCUGAGAGGAUGAUCCGCCACACUGGGACUGAGACACGGCCCAGACUCCUACGGGAGGCAGCAGUGGGGAAUUUUGGACAAUGGGGGCAACCCUGAUCCAGCCAUGCCGCGUGAGUGAAGAAGGCC
RNAcentral lists this ribosomal RNA (386 nucleotides) under uncultured bacterium. Its description in RNAcentral is "bacterial SSU rRNA". It matches the Rfam family "Bacterial small subunit ribosomal RNA", at positions 29 to 416 of the family's 1533-position model. The record is from RNAcentral.